This is a long non-coding RNA of Panicum virgatum (switchgrass), 859 nucleotides long. RefSeq lists it as uncharacterized. The transcript is spliced from 2 exons. NCBI's taxonomy places the organism in Eukaryota, Viridiplantae, Streptophyta, Magnoliopsida, Poales, Poaceae. The record is from RefSeq and is a predicted model, not a curated record.
GUUGCCCACCACGGCGCUGAGUUGCCCGCCCUGCUCGUUGACGUGGCGCUGAUGUGGCAGCGACCCUGGCGCCACACAUCUUGGCGCCGAGACGUGCGCCGAGCUCGGCGCCGAGGUCCGUGCCAUAUCGCCAGCGCUCUCUGCGCCUCGUUCAUCCUUCCUCGUUGUGCCCGCCGCCGCCGGCGUCACCUCCGACCGCCGCUUGUUGGGCGCCCCACCCCACCUCUUCCGCGCGCCGGCCACGCCUGCACACGCGAGUCGCGCGACCUCCGCCUGCAGCCCAGCUCCUGGCUCGCCCCUGUCGCCCGCGGCCUCCUCUCUCGGCUCCGCCCGCCGCCGGCGCUACCUCCUCUUCCGCCGCGGCGGCACCACCUCACGGAGGCGAGCACCGCCCCGCCGCCUUCUCCAUGCGCUCAAGUAGGCCGGCACUCGCCAUCCUCGCCUCCUCCGCGCAUGCAGCCCUGUCUCUGCAUCUCCGCUCGCCUGUAAUCUGGCCGACAGUGCUUCUACCUGGUUACAGAGGUCUCCCUCCUUUCAAGCCUUGAGAGAAGGUUUUUUUUGUCCGGCGACUUCCUUUCUGCAAACAUAUGAUGGCAUCAGCUACAAGUGAACAUGAGCAAGAGCGGGAUAUAGGAAUUACCUUGGUCAUUUUGCUCGUUCAUCUGAACGUUAACUUGAUGGUUAAGUAGUAAUGCUCACGGGAAGAACAAUCGAAAUGAAGUAGCCCUAUUAGCUUGUAUGUGUACGUGUGACUCGAGUUCUAUCUCUUUGUAUCCAUACAUGUGCUGAUUGUUUGAUGUUAUAUCAUUGGCGGCAUAUCUAUAUUUAUCAAUCAUCAAAUUUACCUAAAGUUGUUCCA